GCUGGGUGUGGUAGCGCACACCUGUACUCCCAUCUACUUGGGAGGCUGAGGUGAGAGGAUUGCCAGAGCCCAGGAAUUCUAGGCUACAGUGAGCUCUGAUUGCGCCACUGCAUUCCAGCCUGGGUGACAGCAAGACCCCAUCUCUA
Molecule: non-coding RNA, 146 nt
Filed under: Nomascus leucogenys (northern white-cheeked gibbon)
Lineage: Eukaryota; Metazoa; Chordata; Mammalia; Primates; Hylobatidae
Source: Rfam by way of RNAcentral